GGGAUUGUGGCUCAAUGGCAGAGCACUUGUCUCAUACAUAUGAGGCACUGGGUUUGAGCCUCAGCACCA
Non-coding RNA from Ictidomys tridecemlineatus (thirteen-lined ground squirrel), 69 nucleotides. Lineage: Eukaryota; Metazoa; Chordata; Mammalia; Rodentia; Sciuridae. The record is from Rfam.